RNAcentral lists this ribosomal RNA (607 nucleotides) under uncultured fungus. RNAcentral describes it as "eukaryotic LSU rRNA". It matches the Rfam family "Eukaryotic large subunit ribosomal RNA", at positions 134 to 723 of the family's 3401-position model. The record is from RNAcentral. Lineage: Eukaryota; Fungi.
CCGUCCGAGUUGUAAGCUAGAGAAGCGCCCUCCGCGCUGGGGCCAUGUACAAGUCUCCUGGAACGGAGCGUCGUGGAGGGUGAGAACCCCGUCUGUGACAUGGACCGCCCAGGGCACCGCGAUUGCGCCCUCAAAGAGUCGAGUUGUUUGGGAAUGCAGCUCCAAAUGGGUGGUAAACUCCAUCUAAAGCUAAACAUUGGCGAGAGACCGAUAGCGAACAAGUACCGUGAGGGAAAGAUGAAAAGAACUUUGGAAAGAGAGUUAAACAGUACGUGAAAUUGUUGAAAGGGAAACGCUUGAAGUCAGUCGCGUCGGCCUGGGAUCAGCCCCGCAAGUGCGAGGCGCACUCCCUGGUCGACGGGUCAGCACCAGUCUCGACCGUUGGAGAAGGGUUGGGGGAAUGUGGCAUCCUAGGAUGUGCUUAUAGCCCCCAAUCGCAUGCAUCGGUCGGGAUUGAGGAACUCGGCGCGCCGCAAGGCCGGGUCUCAGACCACGUCCGCGCCCAGGAUGCUGGCACAAUGGCUUUAAUCGACCCGUCUUGAAACACGGACCAAGGAGUCUAACAUGCCUGCGAGUGUUUGGGUGGAAAACCCAUGCGCGCAAUGAA